Long non-coding RNA from Sycon ciliatum, 1276 nucleotides. RefSeq lists it as uncharacterized. The transcript has 3 exons. NCBI's taxonomy places the organism in Eukaryota, Metazoa, Porifera, Calcarea, Leucosolenida, Sycettidae. The record is from RefSeq and is a predicted model, not a curated record.
UAUUUUCUUGGAAGGUGCACUUUUUGUCGCGCGCCUGAAACUAUUUUUGGCUGCAUGUACGCUUUUCGGAGUGCAGCGCAACUACUACUGUACUAUGACUAGUACGAGUGUAUGGUGUCAAGUGCACUCAUCGAUCCGUGCGCAGGCCGGAACUGUGCCCGCUCGCGCUGUUAUGAAACAGACUAGACAGUGAGUUAGUCAUGUGUAGUGACAUGCACAGUACUGAGUAGGCAAGUUCACUGCACGUAGCCUGGCAUGACCUCGGGGCAUUUCACACGUCUGGAUGAAUGAUUGCGGCUUGAACUAGUCAGAGCUGUGCCGCGUAGAUCUACCACCACUCAUGAAACACUCCAGUUCAACGGGUUUUACGGACCCCUGCAUGCAGCGCAGGGGUCCGUACAACCCUCUGAACUAGCGCCUGGCGGGUCCGAGUAGCAAGAUAGACCGCAGUCUGACAUAGACUAGUAGUUCUGGUAGUUCUGCUAGUGCAUGCGUUGCAAGUAAAUGCACCCAAAUGGCGCUUUCGUCCUCUUACUCUUAGAAUAAAAGGCCAAUUGGUCAACUGGAGUUGAUCAUACCAGUUGUUUUCUUUCCUUGCGACAUGAUCCCUUGCUGGUGAUCUCCUGCUGCUGCUAGCAGUAGAAAUGUCGAAAGGGAACAGUGUGCAGUUGUCCACUUUCCUCAGCUGGAAAGUAGAUGAGGACAUAGGCUUCAACUCGGUGAAGAAGGAAGGUAAAGAGCUGGUCGUGAAAGUGUGGUGCAAGUCGUGUGCGAAGUAUUCUGACGUUAUCCGGAGCGACUCUAUGGCUGAGAGGUCAAGCGAAGGUCGAUGCGUUGAGGUUUGUGGAGGGAUCGGACUACGUGACGAAGCACGCUGUCACUCGACAUUUGUCUGGACAGGCGCAUAGCAUCGGAGUGAGCCAUGCGAAGCUAUUGGGUGACACCGACAAAUCAUCGUCGACGUCUGCAUCAGGGAGCAAGGCAACACAAGCGCCUCAGCAGCCACGCAUCCACACAGCUAUUCUAGUCCAAGCGGAGGAUGCAUACGAAAAGCUCUUCCACACUGCAUAUUUAAUGGCAGUUCACGGCCAACCGCUGUCAUCUUUCAAGACAAUGGUGGAAAUUCAGAAAGCAUCCAGAAUUUUUUCUCGAAAAAACUGAUAUCAAUAAUGUGCUGUGUUGUUGGAGUGAGAAUUUUUGGAUCACUCUCCUACAGCUCGCCUGACACAGGCGAGGAGAGCGAUAGAUCACUCGCCACCUAUUUUCAAAUCACAGG